Molecule: ribosomal RNA, 447 nt
Filed under: Triticum aestivum (bread wheat)
Lineage: Eukaryota; Viridiplantae; Streptophyta; Magnoliopsida; Poales; Poaceae
Description: partial small subunit ribosomal RNA
Source: RNAcentral
AUGCCGCCGCGAAGAGAUGAAGCUGCAUACGACGAACCAUGGGCUCCAAGGCGGCGCCUUCAAGAAGGUUACGACACCGGAGCGUCGCCACCGCCCGAUCCGAGGAUCAGAGUUUCCCCUGGAGCAACACGACGGGCGAUGAGAGCCGCGGCGACGCUUUCAAGAAGGGAACGAGCUUCGCCGCCGCCGGUCCGUCCGACGAUAGAGCAGGUUUUCACCCCGGCCAACGCUCACCGCCUCCGAAUGCCACACCCCGGCAACCAUGCCGCCUGCACGGCCAUGGUCACCGGGCAGCACCGAGCCACAGGCUUUGCCCAAGAGCAUCGUGCUACCACCACCAGGGCCGCCGCCCCGGCAUCCAAGACCUUGACACCACCUCACCCGAGACCCGCCACUACCCCAACCAAAGAGACGAGCGGAAAGGCCCCACUGUGUCUUUAUGGUUAA